This 329-nucleotide RNase P RNA is filed under the name Gammaproteobacteria bacterium. RNAcentral describes it as "RNase P RNA component class A". It matches the Rfam family "Bacterial RNase P class A". From Rfam's summary of the family: Ribonuclease P (RNase P) is a ubiquitous endoribonuclease, found in archaea, bacteria and eukarya as well as chloroplasts and mitochondria. Its best characterised activity is the generation of mature 5'-ends of tRNAs by cleaving the 5'-leader elements of precursor-tRNAs. Cellular RNase Ps are ribonucleoproteins. Lineage: Bacteria; Pseudomonadati; Pseudomonadota; Gammaproteobacteria. The record is from RNAcentral. RNAcentral also lists the same sequence under 2 other names.
AGAGUUGGUCGAGCUAUCGCUUAGCAUGCUAAGAGGAAAGUCCGGACUUCAAAGAGUAAGGUGCCAGUUAAUUGCUGGGGAACGUGAGUUCACGGAAAGUGCAACAGAAAGUAAACCGCCAUUUAUGGUAAGGGUGAAAGGGUAAGGUAAGAGCUUACCGCUCAAAUUAAAAUUUGAGGCAUUGAAAACCCCACCUGAAGCAAUGCCAAAUAGAGAUUAAAUUGUGUUUCUCGCACAUAAUCUGGGUAGGCAGCUUGAGUGUUUUGGUGACAAGACAUCUAGAUAAAUGAUAGCUAAAACAGAAUCCGGCUUAUAGACCAACUCUAUUC